This 745-nucleotide ribosomal RNA is filed under the name uncultured Nitrospiraceae bacterium. Its description in RNAcentral is "bacterial SSU rRNA". It matches the Rfam family "Bacterial small subunit ribosomal RNA", at positions 67 to 798 of the family's 1533-position model. Lineage: Bacteria; Pseudomonadati; Nitrospirota; Nitrospiria; Nitrospirales; Nitrospiraceae. The record is from RNAcentral.
CGAGAAUGGUGUAGCAAUACACACUGUACAGUGGCGAACGGGCUGUAGGACUUACAUGGGUAACCUACCCUCGAGUGGGGAAUAACUUAGCCGAAAGGUUAGCUAAUACCGCGUACGCUUCCAAGACUGCGGUUUUGGAAGGAAAGCGAUACCGUGGGUAUCGCGCUCUUGGAUGGGCUCAUGCCCUAUCAGCUUGUUGGUGAGGUAACGGCUCACCAAGGCUUCGACGGGUAGCUGAUCUGAGAGGAUGAUCAGCCACACUGGCACUGCGACACGGGCCAGACUCCUACGGGAGGCAGCAGUAAGGAAUAUUGCGCAAUGGGCGAAAGCCUGACGCAGCGACGCCGCGUGGGGGAUGAAGGUCUUCGGAUUGUAAACCCCUUUCGGGAGGGAAGAUGGGAUGGGGUAACCCAUUCGGACGGUACCUCCAGAAGCAGCCACGGCUAACUUCGUGCCAGCAGCCGCGGUAAUACGAAGGUGGCAAGCGUUGUUCGGAUUUACUGGGCGUACAGGGAGCGUAGGCGGUUGGAUAAGCCCUCCGUGAAAUCUCCAGGCUUAACCUGGAAAGUGCAGAGGGGACUGUUCAGCUAGAGGAUGGGAGAGGAGCGCGGAAUUCCCGGUGUAGCGGUGAAAUGCGUAGAGAUCGGGAGGAAGGCCGGUGGCGAAGGCGGCGCUCUGGAACAUUUCUGACGCUGAGGCUCGAAAGCGUGGGGAGCAAACAGGAUUAGAUACCCUGGAAGUCCAC